UUGUAGGGGUUUAAUUUAAAUAUUCUUCCUUGGAGCCCUUGAGCUCGAGUGAAGACAGUCUUUCUCCCAGGAUGGGAGUUUGACAUCCCUCGAAUAUUUGAGAGGGUUAAAAAUCUGACUCAGUAUAAAUAUAUGAUUGUACAUAUCAAUUAUACUCUCAUGUAAUAUGAGUUGUAAUUUGAACUGUAAUUUGAGCAAUAGUCUCAUGUAAUCAAAAAAAA
RNAcentral lists this long non-coding RNA (221 nucleotides) under Citrus sinensis (sweet orange). Its description in RNAcentral is "long non-coding RNA (CSIN_LNC001816)". Lineage: Eukaryota; Viridiplantae; Streptophyta; Magnoliopsida; Sapindales; Rutaceae. The record is from RNAcentral.